GACGAUCGCUGGCGGCGUGCUUAACACAUGCAAAGUCGAACGAUGAAGCGCUGUCUUUUUGGUGGUGUGGAUUAGUGGCGAACGGGUGAGUAAUACGCGGGCAACCUGCCCCUCUGCUUCGGGAUAAGCUUUGGAAACGAGGUCUAAUACCGGAUGUGCCUGUCUGGUCGCAUGGCUGGGCGGGGAAAGAUGUUUUUCGGCGGGGGAUGGGCUCGCGGCCUAUCAGCUUGUUGGUGGGGUGACGGCCUACCAAGGCGUCGACGGGUAGCCGGCCUGAGAGGGUGGUCGGCCACACUAGGACUGAGAUACGGCCCAGACUCCUACGGGAGGCAGCAGUGGGGGAUAUUGCACAAUGGGCGCAAGCCUGAUGCAGCGACGCCGCGUGGGGGAUGGAGGCUUUCGGGUUGUAAACCCCUUUCGGCGCGGGACAAGGCUCCGUUUGGCGGGGUUGAGGGUACGGGUCAAAGAAGCGCCGGGUAACUACGUGCCAGCAGCCGCGGUAAUUCGUAGGGCGAGCAAGUUGUCAGGAAUUAUUGGGCGUAAAGGCCGAAAAACAUCUUUCCCCGCCCAGCCAGAAGACCAGACAGUCACAUCCGGU
Molecule: ribosomal RNA, 598 nt
Filed under: uncultured Actinomycetaceae bacterium
Lineage: Bacteria; Bacillati; Actinomycetota; Actinomycetes; Actinomycetales; Actinomycetaceae
Description: bacterial SSU rRNA
Rfam family: Bacterial small subunit ribosomal RNA
Source: RNAcentral